Molecule: long non-coding RNA, 306 nt
Organism: Lemur catta (Ring-tailed lemur)
Lineage: Eukaryota; Metazoa; Chordata; Mammalia; Primates; Lemuridae
Exons: 3
Source: RefSeq, a predicted model, not a curated record
CCUGUGGACACCUUCUGGUCACCCAGGCUUGCGGGGCCAGAUGGGAUUUUGGUUUGGGACUUUGUGCUGGUGAAAGGGCACCAGGCAGGGCCCUCGACAUCUCUGUCCUCAGCGACCUGCCCAGCCCCUUGGGAGCUCAGGCACCGGUACCACCUUUGUCAGACAGAUCCACAAAGAAUACGGAGGAACAUGGAGCAGACUUGAACCCAACCCAUGGCCUGGAACCCAGUUCAGCUGAUCUACAACCUGAAACAAAACUACCUAGCUGAGCCCAGCCUGGACCAGGCAAAUCGCAGUCAACCUGCA